RNAcentral lists this ribosomal RNA (433 nucleotides) under uncultured bacterium. RNAcentral describes it as "partial 16S ribosomal RNA". It matches the Rfam family "Bacterial small subunit ribosomal RNA", at positions 29 to 507 of the family's 1533-position model. The record is from RNAcentral.
AACGAACGCUGGCGGCAUGCCUAACACAUGCAAGUCGAACGAGACCUUCGGGUCUAGUGGCGCACGGGUGCGUAACGCGUGGGAACCUGCCCUUAGGUUCGGAAUAACUCCCCGAAAGGGGUGCUAAUACCGGAUAAUGUCUUCGGACCAAAGAUUUAUCGCCUUUGGAUGGGCCCGCGUUGGAUUAGCUAGUUGGUAGGGUAAAAGCCUACCAAGGCGACGAUCCAUAGCUGGUCUGAGAGGAUGAUCAGCCACACUGGGACUGAGACACGGCCCAGACUCCUACGGGAGGCAGCAGUGGGGGAUAUUGGACAAUGGGCGAAAGCCUGAUCCAGUAAUGCCGCGUGAGUGAUGAAGGCCUUAGGGUUGUAAAGCUCUUUUACCCGGGAUGAUAAUGACAGUACCGGGAGAAUAAGCUCCGGCUAACUCCGUG